Molecule: long non-coding RNA, 871 nt
Filed under: Pongo abelii (Sumatran orangutan)
Lineage: Eukaryota; Metazoa; Chordata; Mammalia; Primates; Hominidae
Description: lincRNA
Source: RNAcentral
UAAUAGCCGAAAGUGGAAACAAUUCAAAUGUCCAACAACUGAUGGAAAGAUGAAGUGUGGUAUAUCCAUAUAAUGGAAUAAUACGCAGACAUAAAGUGGAAUGAUUGGCACAUGUUUACAACAUGGAUGAACCUUGACAACGCUAUGUUAAGUUAAAGAAGCCAGACACAAAAGGAUUGUCAACACUCUGGCAAUUGAAAAAUAACAGGAAUAACUGUUUUAUGACAAAUGGACCUGAACCCUAUGAAAUGAAUUUGCAAGCACUGGCACAGUUCACAUAUGCUACAAACAACCAUCUUCAGACAGUGUAGCCAACCAACUGUGCCAGACUUAAACUGAUGACCCUGAGGUGAAUCGUUCUAUUGUCACAACAUUUCUGGUCCUCAAGGCUCUCCAUGCUCUUAAACUCUUUUCUUUAAUAUUCUACGGUGUGUUUAUUUUCACGGCUAUAAAGUCAUACUCAGAUUUGCAAUGAUAUUUACUACCAUAUUUCAGAGUGUUUUAACUGAUGUUAGUUCAAAUCAAUUCUGGAGAAACUUUCCAGCCAAGGGAAUUGCAAGCUAGCUGGUUGACAUUGGAGGUCAAAUACUCCAGGGUAUGGGUCUCAAAUCACUUAAUUCUUCACAGCAAAUUAGAAACGGGACUCCAGCUGGUGCUAAAGAAUAAGACAGACUUGCUGUAUAAGGACAAGCUGCUGCUUGGAUUUCGAGUCUUUAUAUUCCUAAAAUAAAAAAUGUGAGACCCAAUUCCCACCCCCCAAUCUCAUUCUUUCAGAGUAAAAGAUUUCUUAACAACAGCAAAAAUCUGGCCACCUGAUUUCAAUACAUAAAUCUUGCCAAGGUAUAAAAAUAAAAUAUGAUUUAAACAGCAA